Ornithodoros turicata is the source of this 4396-nucleotide long non-coding RNA. RefSeq lists it as uncharacterized. Lineage: Eukaryota; Metazoa; Arthropoda; Arachnida; Ixodida; Argasidae. The transcript is spliced from 2 exons. The record is from RefSeq and is a predicted model, not a curated record.
AUUCCGCUUUAGCCCAGCCCGCUUGAUUGUCGCAAAGAUCGCACGGAAGAUGCGGGGAGAGUAGGAAGUGUUCCCGCCUCUUGUUUUACCCCUCUUUCCCCUGCUUUGACCUUGAUACUGGUGACAACCGCCUUAUCACAAAGAAAACAAAACAACCGUCUUGUCACAAAGAAGGCGGGGACACUUCCUCCUAUAGACGUACAUUUCGAGUGCGCUUCUUUGCGAAAAUCAAGCAGGCGGGGCUAAAGCGGCAUUUUUACCAAUUUUUUUUUUCGACUAUUUCGGUUGCGAUACUGUGCAUAGUUUUUGUUGGGCCUGUGGUUAUACGUGGAGGACUUCAUAUUUCUGUAAAAAAGAAAGUGAGGUUCGCUUGGCAAUUUUCGAAGUUCAAUUGACAAAAAUAAAUUUCCCGCAAUUCAAAAUUGUCCAAAGCCUUUCUCAAUGGUGGCAAAAGUUUCCAGAAGGCCAGUUAGCAAGGCAAGUCGCCAGUUAGAAUUUUUUAUCACUUUAGGUGAAACACCCUGUAUUCCAUUGCACGCAUACAACUUUGGCUCACAAUCAAUAUUCGGUUACUGGUAUUUACUGCAAACAUCAAUCAAAGUACAUUAAAAUAUUUGUUAAAUGGGACACAAGAGGUAAAUUAUGAAUUUAUUAUGUCUGCAAGACUUACUUCCUAAUGAGCACAUUAGUAUGUUAAUUAUGCAAAUAUAAUACGUAUAUCAUACAGCCCUAGGCUUUACGUAGCGAGGCAAUUAGAAAGAAGUGAUCACCACAUAAGUCAGAAUUGAACUCUCUCAUUUGGAGCCAUGGAUGUGCAGCUAAUUCGUGUGUAUCAUGUAGUCAUCAAACAUUCAAUGUCUAACACAUAACAUAAAAUCCUAUUCUUGGCAAACACUUUAGAAACUGCUGCUUCGCGUUAUGAAUAUGCUUCUUCAACAACAUCCUAAGUCCUAAUUAGCAGACUCAUAGUGAAUGUGCUGUUCAAUACCAGUACUGUAACCGAUUACCACUAUGAAGUUUAGUUUUGAAAAUGAGCAACUGUAAUUGUAAUGUAAUUACAUUUUGUCUGUAAUUUGAAUCUGAGGGGCAGUCACUUUUGGCAGUGGCUUAAACAGAACCUUGUGCUUUAUCUAAAUUAUCAACAUCUAGUAUCUGUAGUCAUUCUGUGGGAAGCAUCAUGAAAUCUGGAUGUUUUAAACGUACACAGUAAGUAGUAACUCGUGAUUAAUUCAUUUACAUUUUAUGAGUGCUGGUAAUUGUGACAGAAUUAUAUUUUAGCUCCAAUAACUUAUCCUGCAACUUAAUUACAAUAUUUGAGUACCAUUCUCCAGCUCUGUAUAAUAGCACGACCACAAACACAUUUGCGCACUAGACGCGUGAGGAUGUGCGUUCUUCACAUUAAUUAGAAAUAAACCAAAUUUAAUUAUUAGUCACAUCUAGAGGAAAUACAAAAUAGAAUGUCGGGUAGAAGGCAAUGCCACACAUGUCCCAUGUUUUGGGGCCACUGAAGGCUGGCAUGUGAUUUGAAGAUGACAAAAGCACGAUUCAUGCAGUGGGAACAUGCCGACGUGAACAUGAAAUGAAUUUGUGCAGAGAAGGCACAUGAGUACUUGUUUUUCGCUGCAGCAAGGCCGUACCACGGGACGGAGAUCAUGCGGAAAAUUUGUAUGUGUAAAUGGCAUACUACACAAAUGUAGUGUGUAUGUGGUGUAAUGUAGUGUAAUGUAGAUAUGUAUAGAUGUCAUGUAUGGGUAAUAAAUAGCUCCUAGAAAAAAAAAAAGUCAGGCGUUACUUUAUGAACAACCCCUGAAAAGUAAGUACUGCAAAAUACUCUGAAUGCAUAAGACAUCAGCACAAAAUUUGAAGUAGAACAGCAGUAUGAUGCGAGUUUUUUUUAAUAUGAUUUCAUGCCAUAUAAUUCAUGCCUGAGAAACGACAAGCUCAAGCCUGGGGAAGUCCAAUUCUGCAGGAGGGCGAUAUGAAAAACCUGAGGUUGAAACCAGAAUGAACGACUUGCAGACUAACAAGGUGGACACACACAUGAAAUUGCACUUGUACUUUCUCAAGUACUCUAUGCAAUCCUAAAAUAUAAAAUCUAUAGGACCAUCAUCUAAACGAAGUAACUGAAAUAUGGUGAGCCAAUGGCAAGCAUGGCACAGGGUGCUUCUUCCACUUUUGAGUGGAGCUUUGUUGCAUAAUUGUCACACACAUUUUAUGGCUACAUGUUACACACUCUAUUAAUAAUUAAAAAUACAGAAGCACAAUAACUACUAAAAAACCUGAUGCUCGGAACACAAUUCAUAAGGUGAUUUGCGACCAUGAAUGCCAUAAGGCAGUGGCUGAAAAUGUCUAGGAAAUUUCUAGCUGUCGCAAAAAAAGGAAAAGCAUCAACAUGCUAUUGUCAACGUCCUUUAGUAGAAACUUGCCUUUCCCGCUUUUCUCUGAACUGUGUCCUUUGCGGGUGCUCGUGGGCAAUAUUAACUGGUGUGUUUUGGUGAAUAUUUGCUGGUUUGAGCUGUCGUCUGCGUUGUCCUUAUUUGUUAGUUUCCCAAGUACAGGCUGUGUUUUCCAUGCCUCAACAUCCCCACCACGAUUUACACCAUAUCACUCGCCAGCAGUGGCAUAGCCAUUUUCGCGUAGCUUAGGAAAAAUUAUUUCGGAAGGGGUUCUAUGGGGACUUUACAUGGGGGAGGAAAACUUCACCCUCGUUUCCCACCCCAAACGGGGGGAUGAACCUCGAACCCCACCCCCAUCUUGUGCACUGUGACCGUGCACCGAACCCUUUAUCCGUAGCGCGGAGUUUAUCAUCUCUUUCUCUAGCCAUUGUGUAUAUUCUAUUGCGGUACCAAUUUAGUUGCUCCACAGUACCAAUCAGUACAAUUCGUAGAACGGUAGAAAAAGAGACGAUGAGCGAGUAUUCGAUCGAGAGAUCGAACCUACGGAGUGCUUCGGUCAUAUCAUUUCUUUCUAAGAAACGAUGUUUGUUCUCAAUCUCCGUGCAAGCCUUCUGUGGGCAUCUUGGUGAAGCAUAUCUACAUUUCUAUCAUCAUCCGUGACCAACACGUCAAACAUCUGAACUGUGGGACGAUCGCCGAAAAUCGACGCGACCGGUUUACCGAUUGAACUUUGUCAGUUGUGCUCCUUGACGACGGUGCAGCAAACUUGAAAACAAAUGAUCUGCAAGGUAUGCAGUCAAAAGCUCGAGUAAUGUGAACUUUUAUACACUUCCAUUUGUACUUUUCGGCUCCAGAUUAAACAAACGUCGCACGGGAGGUCAAAACUAACUUUUCCGUCCGUGCAUCACACAGUCGCCAGCCGAAAACAUUAGGCUUACAUAAUGCACGCAAGGAUUCAUGUUACGCUUGCAACGAACUAGAUAGACGGCAGAGCUUACCUUUGUAUUUCCUAAGGCGACACGCACACAUAAAUUCGCUGAUCAUGAAGCAUUGCACAAAAUCCACGGCACCGGGAACAGCACAAGGAGAAAGUUCUGAGUUCAAAAUUUUUUUUCGCGCUCGUCACGACAUCGGACUACAAAAACGCAUCGGACAGUUCACCUGGCUGCGUAUUGCGCAUGCGCCACGGUGACUGUCACGUGGUUUAAAGCACUCACGUGCUGUGUCGUUUCCUGUGCCGCGAUUCUCGAUGUGUGUUUUGGUAUUUUCUUGUCCCUUUGUCGUUUUUUUUCGUAGUUUUUUUUUUUUUCAUCUUACAUUGGCAGGAACAAGUGAGCUGUAAAGGGAAUAAUAUGCAGGACAUGGCAAGGCAAGGGCACGUGCAAAACUGGAGGGCAGUACCUCUCCAUGUUCGCUUUGUGGAAGCCUCUCAGUAGAUGUCUGCCUGCAGCGUAAGCAGCAGUUCUGGUGGAACGGAACAGUUCAGCCACAUGUGUGCACAUCGAUUCCUAUGUCACCCUGGGGGGGGAACUGCUUCCGAAAAUACAGAGAGCCAUGUUUGAAAAGUCAUACCUAGGUCGAAAAGACAUUUCGAUAGCAUCCCAGUUUCGAAAGUGGAUGCGAACUACAACAAUUUGAAGCUGAUGACAGGAACAAGCUCUGACUCUCGAGCCCAUACCUUUCGGUCAUAGUUAGAUAUUACCCCGGUGGUUACUCCCUGCCAGCUACUUUCCGAAGAUAACAUACCAGGCCCUAGACCGGAUUCACAUAACAAGCGCUCGCACAGUAUCACCAUUCAAGAGGCGCUUGCACUACGCCCAUCGUGUCUUGCGUGUGUCUCAGUCACACUGAUAUUCACACAGACGUAUAACAUUGAGAUGAAACUUAAAAACAAUAAAACGCAACGUGAAAUGUCAACACGUUAUAUUACUCUCCCACCUUGCCUCCUGGUCUUGUCGUUGUACCCAUCACUGAAGAAAAUAAUAAAUGGCUCAAUGAUU